RNAcentral lists this ribosomal RNA (706 nucleotides) under Photobacterium sp. CJJK62. RNAcentral describes it as "bacterial SSU rRNA". It matches the Rfam family "Bacterial small subunit ribosomal RNA", at positions 388 to 1086 of the family's 1533-position model. The record is from RNAcentral. Lineage: Bacteria; Pseudomonadati; Pseudomonadota; Gammaproteobacteria; Vibrionales; Vibrionaceae.
GCAGCCAUGCCGCGUGUGUGAAGAAGGCCUUCGGGUUGUAAAGCACUUUCAGUUGUGAGGAAGGCGUUGUCGUUAAUAGCGGCAGUGUUUGACGUUAGCAACAGAAGAAGCACCGGCUAACUCCGUGCCAGCAGCCGCGGUAAUACGGAGGGUGCGAGCGUUAAUCGGAAUUACUGGGCGUAAAGCGCAUGCAGGCGGCUUGUUAAGCCAGAUGUGAAAGCCCGGGGCUCAACCUCGGAAUAGCAUUUGGAACUGUCAGGCUAGAGUCUUGUAGAGGGGGGUAGAAUUUCAGGUGUAGCGGUGAAAUGCGUAGAGAUCUGAAGGAAUACCGGUGGCGAAGGCGGCCCCCUGGACAAAGACUGACGCUCAGAUGCGAAAGCGUGGGGAGCAAACAGGAUUAGAUACCCUGGUAGUCCACGCCGUAAACGAUGUCUACUUGGAGGUUGGUGUCUUGAACACUGGCUUUCGGAGCUAACGCGUUAAGUAGACCGCCUGGGGAGUACGGUCGCAAGAUUAAAACUCAAAUGAAUUGACGGGGGCCCGCACAAGCGGUGGAGCAUGUGGUUUAAUUCGAUGCAACGCGAAGAACCUUACCUACUCUUGACAUCCAGAGAACUUUCCAGAGAUGGAUUGGUGCCUUCGGGAACUCUGAGACAGGUGCUGCAUGGCUGUCGUCAGCUCGUGUUGUGAAAUGUUGGGUUAAGUC